CUUUUGACAUGAAAACGGACCAAACAUAUGUACAAAAUAAGAAAAGUAGAAGGGUAAAAAGACGGCAAAAAUUCUUUUAAGCACUGGAAGGGAUGGAAUUUUUGAUGCCUUAAAUGGGUAAAUUUUGCACCUUAGUCCUUAGCUACGAACAGAAAAGAAGAAGGACGAGACGUAAUGGUAUAGAAGAGAGAGAGAGAGAGGGGGUAAAUGCCAAAGGGCAAAGACGUUUGGUAAUGAGUUGCAGCCAGGCAGAAUACCAAUGGCAAAUGAUUAUUCAUUAUUCAUCAGCCAGGCAGAAUACCAGGCAGAAUACCUAAAUUUGUACUCAUACUAGCUUUCAAAUAAUUCCAAAAUAUAGUUCAAAUACUCACCUUGCAGCUGUCCUACAUCAAGAAAACCAACCAAAAUUAAAUAAUUCAUCACACUUUAGCAUGAUAAUGUAUCAGGAGUGCUACCUUCAAUAAGAAAUUUUUAUU
RNAcentral lists this unclassified non-coding RNA (476 nucleotides) under Hevea brasiliensis (rubber tree). The record is from RNAcentral. Lineage: Eukaryota; Viridiplantae; Streptophyta; Magnoliopsida; Malpighiales; Euphorbiaceae.